CCUACGGGCGGCAGCAGUGGGGAAUAUUGGACAAUGGGGGCAACCCUGAUCCAGCCAUGCCGCGUGUGUGAAGAAGGCCCUCGGGUUGUAAAGCACUUUCAGUGAGGAAGAACGCCUGGUGGUUAAUACCCAUCAGGAAAGACAUCACUCACAGAAGAAGCACCGGCUAACUCCGUGCCAGCAGCCGCGGUAAUACGGAGGGUGCGAGCGUUAAUCGGAAUUACUGGGCGUAAAGCGCGCGUAGGUGGCUUGAUAAGCCGGUUGUGAAAGCCCCGGGCUCAACCUGGGAACGGCAUCCGGAACUGUCAAGCUAGAGUGCAGGAGAGGAAGGUAGAAUUCCCGGUGUAGCGGUGAAAUGCGUAGAGAUCGGGAGGAAUACCAGUGGCGAAGGCGGCCUUCUGGACUGACACUGACACUGCGGUGCGAAAGCGUGGGUAGCAAACAGGAUUAGAUACCCCAGUAGUC
RNAcentral lists this ribosomal RNA (465 nucleotides) under Vreelandella stevensii. RNAcentral describes it as "partial 16S ribosomal RNA". It matches the Rfam family "Bacterial small subunit ribosomal RNA", at positions 338 to 795 of the family's 1533-position model. Lineage: Bacteria; Pseudomonadati; Pseudomonadota; Gammaproteobacteria; Oceanospirillales; Halomonadaceae. The record is from RNAcentral.